Molecule: ribosomal RNA, 79 nt
Filed under: Vibrio vulnificus
Lineage: Bacteria; Pseudomonadati; Pseudomonadota; Gammaproteobacteria; Vibrionales; Vibrionaceae
Description: partial 16S ribosomal RNA
Rfam family: Bacterial small subunit ribosomal RNA
Source: RNAcentral
UUUUAAUAUGAGAGUUUGAUCCUGGCUCAGGACGAACGCUGGCGGCAUGCCUAAUACAUGCAAGUCGAACGAGGUCCAU